This 323-nucleotide ribosomal RNA is filed under the name uncultured bacterium. Its description in RNAcentral is "bacterial SSU rRNA". It matches the Rfam family "Bacterial small subunit ribosomal RNA", at positions 28 to 334 of the family's 1533-position model. The record is from RNAcentral.
GACGAACGCUGGCGGCGUGCUUAACACAUGCAAGUCGAACGGGAUUUAGUAAACAGAAGCUUCGGUGGAAGAUUACUAAUGAGAGUGGCGAACGGGUGAGUAACGCGUGAGCAACCUGCCUAUGACAGUGGGAUAGCCUCGGGAAACCGGGAUUAAUACCGCAUAAAAUCGUAGAAACACAUGUUUUAACGGUCAAAGAUUUAUCGGUCAUAGAUGGGCUCGCGUCUGAUUAGCUAGUUGGUGAGGUAACGGCCCACCAAGGCAACGAUCAGUAGCCGACCUGAGAGGGUGACCGGCCACAUUGGGACUGAGACACGGCCCAA